AAGUCGUAACAAGGUUUCCGUAGGUGAACCUGCGGAAGGAUCAUUAACACGUUAUCCACGUAUCAACCAACGCGAACUGUUUUCACUUUCCCCUCCGGACCAUUGAGUUGAGGGCCUGUAGAGCUGUAUGAAUGGGGCACGUUUGUGCCGGCUCUACUCGCCUCUGCCUUAGCGUAGUUACCUACGUUGGGUCGGCAAUUCACAUAAGGAGGACUCCUCUCAGCGAUCUGCCUCCAUUCAUUGGCGUUUCAAUGGGAACUCAUUUACAUUAUUCACCCACUUUUUGCUAGUUGACUUUUAUAUGUUGUAUCAUUGCUUCGGCACUGGUGCACACGUUUAAUUAUUUGAACGUUAAAAAUACAACUCUUAGCAAUGGAUAUCUAGGUUCUC
This 390-nucleotide unclassified non-coding RNA is filed under the name fungal sp. RNAcentral describes it as "partial internal transcribed spacer region". The stretch from base 1 to 46 matches the Rfam family "Eukaryotic small subunit ribosomal RNA", at positions 1786 to 1831 of the family's 1831-position model. The record is from RNAcentral. Lineage: Eukaryota; Fungi.